RNAcentral lists this ribosomal RNA (493 nucleotides) under uncultured Massilia sp. Its description in RNAcentral is "partial 16S ribosomal RNA". The record is from RNAcentral. Lineage: Bacteria; Pseudomonadati; Pseudomonadota; Betaproteobacteria; Burkholderiales; Oxalobacteraceae.
CACGUAGUUAGCCGGUGCUUAUUCUUCAGGUACCGUCAUUAGCGGGCGAUAUUAGCGCCUGCCGUUUCUUCCCUGACAAAAGAGCUUUACAACCCGAAGGCCUUCUUCACUCACGCGGCAUUGCUGGAUCAGGCUUGCGCCCAUUGUCCAAAAUUCCCCACUGCUGCCUCCCGUAGGAGUCUGGACCGUGUCUCAGUUCCAGUGUGGCUGGUCGUCCUCUCAGACCAGCUACUGAUCGUCGCCUUGGUGAGCCUUUACCUCACCAACUAGCUAAUCAGAUAUCGGCCGCUCCAGGAGCACAAGGCCUUGCGGUCCCCUGCUUUCAUCCGUAGAUCGUAUGCGGUAUUAGCGUAACUUUCGCUACGUUAUCCCCCACUCUUGGGUACGUUCCGAUAUAUUACUCACCCGUUCGCCACUCGCCACCAGGCCGAAGCCCGUGCUGCCGUUCGACUUGCAUGUGUAAAGCAUGCCGCCAGCGUUCGAAUCUGAGCCA